CGGGUCGUAAAACUCUGUCCUCAAGGAAGAUAAUGACGGUACUUGAGGAGGAAGCCCCGGCUAACUACGUGCCAGCAGCCGCGGUAAUACGUAGGGGGCUAGCGUUAUCCGGAUUUACUGGGCGUAAAGGGAGCGUAGGCGGUCUUUCAAGUCAGGAGUGAAAGGCUACGGCUCAACCGUAGUAAGCUCUUGAAACUGGGA
RNAcentral lists this ribosomal RNA (201 nucleotides) under Clostridioides difficile. RNAcentral's name for it is "partial 16S ribosomal RNA". It matches the Rfam family "Bacterial small subunit ribosomal RNA", at positions 419 to 638 of the family's 1533-position model. Lineage: Bacteria; Bacillati; Bacillota; Clostridia; Peptostreptococcales; Peptostreptococcaceae. The record is from RNAcentral.